AGGAUGAACGCUGGCGGCGUGCUUAACACAUGCAAGUCGAACGAUGAAGCAGAGCUUGCUCUGUGGAUUAGUGGCGAACGGGUGAGUAACACGUGAGUAACCUGCCCUUGACUCUGGAAUAAGCGUUGGAAACGACGUCUAAUACCGGAUACGAGCUUCCGCCGCAUGGUGAGGAGCUGGAAAGAAUUUCGGUCAAGGAUGGACUCGCGGCCUAUCAGGUAGUUGGUGAGGUAAUGGCUCACCAAGCCUACGACGGGUAGCCGGCCUGAGAGGGUGACCGGCCACACUGGAACUGAGACACGGUCCAGACUCCUACGGGAGGCAGCAGUGGGGAAUA
RNAcentral lists this ribosomal RNA (337 nucleotides) under uncultured soil bacterium. RNAcentral describes it as "bacterial SSU rRNA". It matches the Rfam family "Bacterial small subunit ribosomal RNA", at positions 26 to 363 of the family's 1533-position model. The record is from RNAcentral.